Molecule: ribosomal RNA, 509 nt
Filed under: uncultured bacterium
Lineage: Bacteria
Description: bacterial SSU rRNA
Rfam family: Bacterial small subunit ribosomal RNA
Source: RNAcentral
CUACGGGCCAGCAGCCGCGGUAAUACGUAGGGGGCAAGCGUUAUCCGGAUUUACUGGGUGUAAAGGGAGCGUAGACGGAAUGGCAAGUCUGAAGUGAAAUACCCGGGCUCAACCUGGGAACUGCUUUGGAAACUGUUGUUCUAGAGUGUUGGAGAGGUAAGUGGAAUUCCUGGUGUAGCGGUGAAAUGCGUAGAUAUCAGGAAGAACACCGGAGGCGAAGGCGGCUUACUGGACAAUAACUGACGUUGAGGCUCGAAAGCGUGGGGAUCAAACAGGAUUAGAUACCCUGGUAGUCCACGCUGUAAACGAUGAAUACUAGGUGUCGGGGUGCAAAGCAUCUCGGUGCCGUCGCUAACGCAAUAAGUAUUCCACCUGGGGAGUACGUUCGCAAGAAUGAAACUCAAAGGAAUUGACGGGGGCCCGCACAAGCGGUGGAGUAUGUGGUUUAAUUCGACGCAACGCGAAGAACCUUACCAGGUCUUGACAUUGAUGGACAGAACUAGAGAUAG